CGCCGCCGCGGUAACACGGAGGGGGCUAGCGUUGUUCGGAAUCACUGGGCGUAAAGGGUGCGUAGGCGGGCAUUUAAGUCAGGGGUGAAAUCCCGAGGCUUAACCUCGGAACUGCCCUUGAUACUGGAUGUCCUGAGUCCGGAAGAGGUGAGUGGAACUGCGAGUGUAGAGGUGAAGUUCGUAGAUAUUCGCAAGAACACCGGUGGUGAGGGCGGCUCACUGGUCCGGAACUGACGCUGAGGCACGACAGCGUGGGGAGCAAACAGGAUUAGAUACCCCCGUAGUCCCUGUCUCUUAUACC
This 301-nucleotide ribosomal RNA is filed under the name uncultured bacterium. RNAcentral describes it as "partial 16S ribosomal RNA". It matches the Rfam family "Bacterial small subunit ribosomal RNA", at positions 510 to 808 of the family's 1533-position model. The record is from RNAcentral.